AUUGAACGCUGGCGGCAGGCUUAACACAUGCAAGUCGAACGAGUGGCGGACGGGCGAGUAAUGCUUGGGAAUCUAGCUUAUGGAGGGGGAUAACUACGGGAAACUGUAGCUAAUACCGCGUACCAUAGGAUGAGCCCAAGAGGGAUUAGGUAGUUGGUGAGGUAAAGGCUCACCAAGCCGACGAUCUCUAGCUGGUCUGAGAGGAUGACCAGCCACACUGGGACUGAGACACGGCCCAGACUCCUACGGGAGGCAGCAGUGGGGAAUAUUGGGCAAUGGGGGAAACUUGACGCAGCAACGCCGCGUGAGUGAAGAAGGUUUUCGGGUCGUAAAGUUCUGUCGGUAGCGAGGCGUUAACUAAACAGAAAGCCCCGGCUAACUACGUGCCAGCAGCCGCGGUAAUUC
This 405-nucleotide ribosomal RNA is filed under the name uncultured bacterium. Its description in RNAcentral is "partial 16S ribosomal RNA". It matches the Rfam family "Bacterial small subunit ribosomal RNA", at positions 30 to 526 of the family's 1533-position model. The record is from RNAcentral.